RNAcentral lists this transfer RNA (73 nucleotides) under Capra hircus (goat). It matches the Rfam family "tRNA". From Rfam's summary of the family: Transfer RNA (tRNA) molecules are approximately 80 nucleotides in length. Lineage: Eukaryota; Metazoa; Chordata; Mammalia; Artiodactyla; Bovidae. The record is from Rfam by way of RNAcentral. RNAcentral also lists the same sequence under 1 other name.
UUCCUGGUGGGCCAGUGGCUAAGACUCUGUGCUCCCAAAGCAGCGGGCCCAGGUUCGAUCCCUGGUCAGGGAA